This is a non-coding RNA of Macaca mulatta (Rhesus monkey), 611 nucleotides long. Lineage: Eukaryota; Metazoa; Chordata; Mammalia; Primates; Cercopithecidae. The record is from RefSeq and is a predicted model, not a curated record.
CAGAUGCAGAACCCGUAGAUAUGGAGGGCUGACUGUAUCAGACUAUCAAGGAACAUGUUCUUCUCAUGAGGAUAGCAGAAGCAAUACAAGAGGCACACAGAGCAAGGAAGCGAUAAGAGGAAGCUAGAACACUGUUCAGCGCUGGCUGCCCAGUGGCUGAUGCUCUCAGGAGAAAGGGGCAGAUUCCCUAAGCUGACAUAGCCUGAAGAGCUUCUGCAGAGCCAGAAGAAGACAUAUAGUUUUCCCGAAGUUGAAGAGGCCCCAGGGACUAUUCAAUCCUUCAGAUGAGGGAGAAGAGAGUGGGAAAAGGGGAAUGACUAGCCAAACCCCUAAUUUCCUGAGGUCUCUCAGCUCUAGAUCCAGCAAAAUAAGGUAAAUAAACGAAGGUUCCCUAAAAUGGUAGGGGUGCAUCCUCUACUCUGCACAGGUGGUGGGUAACAGGACCUCUGCCUCCACAACAAGUCACAGGGUGACAGAGCUAGGUCGAGAUGCUCACUCUGAGGAAGGAAGACCUAUAGUCAGAAGAGGCAUGCCAAAUAAUCAAGAAUCAUUUGGAACGAUAAAGAUUUAUGACACAAAACUAAGUUCUUUCUCCACUUAGAAAAUGGAGA